Molecule: long non-coding RNA, 1385 nt
Filed under: Cyanistes caeruleus (blue tit)
Lineage: Eukaryota; Metazoa; Chordata; Aves; Passeriformes; Paridae
Description: lncRNA (ENSCCEG00000012220.1)
Source: RNAcentral
GCAGAUACACCUGCCAACAUGCUCCUCCUGAUUUUCCUCUUGCUCCACAGAAAAGUGUGCUGGUUCAGAAAAGAAAGAGGCAGCUCUUAAAGACUGACCAUAUUUGAAGGGAAUCUAGUUCCCUGUAGGUCUGGUGUUGAUUUUCGCUGGGAGAGGAGUGUUCUGAGCGUUUGGGAACUUUUGUUGUGAGGACUUGCGCCAUCCACUCACUCUGGGAGUGAAAAGACUGGAGAUCUGGUUUGGCCCUGUCCUGAGUCUGCUGGGAGAGUUUUGACAACUCUGGUAUCCAUUUGAAUUUUGGCCGUUCUAUCUGUGUGUCCAAGGAUUUAUGCCUUUUCCUGGCUGUGUGUCCCAUGACUUCAGGAAUUUGCCAGCCAGCAUGAAGAUUAUUUUAAUGAAAAACUCUCUCAAAGUUCGGUUUCCACUACAGGAGCCCUGACUCCAGAAUCCUGAAUCCUGUUGAUUCCCAUUGAAUCCAGCAGAAGUCAGAGGGAAUACAACCCUAACAAACAGUUCAAAGCCCAUGAAGACAAACAACAAAUAAUCUUCCUUCAAUGAGCUUUACAUCAGUUUCAGAAAGGUGUAAUCCUGCUUAUUGACUUGGUUGUAGAAAGCCGUGUCUGGAGGAUGAGUGAAGGAUGACCUGUAAUGCUGCAUUUAUGGCCAUGGAGGAUCUGUAUGGCAAUGGCUUUACACAGAGCAAACACCUGCACAGGGGCCUGCAAGCUCUGCUGGGUAGGGAUGGAGGCAGCAUGGGAGGUGCUGAUGGAGGAGGGGGGACAUCUCGCCGGGUUCACCAGCAACUGCUGUGCAAGUUUGAUUUCAUCAGAUGCCACGCAAAAUGGGCAACAGCAGAGGGAGGGAGAAGGAGCACCGAGUGCACGAGUUCACACGGCAAAUUGCAUCUUCCAGCAAACACAGCUGCAGUGGUGCUCUCUCAGCCUCUUUGACCACGUUGGAGGGUUUUAGAGCACUUUGGGUGGAAGCCUGCUGCUGCACACGGCUGUUUUCCACUGUGAGUCUCCGAGCACAGCUGCACAAAACGCUGGGCUGUGGUACCACACUCCUGCACCUUGUGCUGUGCAGGGUGUCCUGCAGUGAUCCCAGCCAGUGAACAGCGAGCUGCUGCAGUUGCACCGUCCUACAGGAGCAUCCCAUGACACUCCCUUCACAGCAGCUCCUGGCUCAGAGAGAAAAUGUGCACUGAAGGGAAUGCUGGGUGGCAUCAGCAUCAGCUGCCUCCUAACAAGCUACAGCUCCCGGGGGAGUUGCUGUGAAGAGGAGAGUGCAUGGAAUUACAGCGUGGUUUUGUCUAGCCAAACUAAUUGGGGAGUGAUUUGUUUCCUCUCUUCUUUCUUAAAAUAAAAAGAUUCCUUAUCACCCCA